RNAcentral lists this ribosomal RNA (429 nucleotides) under Acidobacteriota bacterium. RNAcentral's name for it is "Acidobacteria bacterium partial 16S ribosomal RNA". It matches the Rfam family "Bacterial small subunit ribosomal RNA", at positions 355 to 776 of the family's 1533-position model. Lineage: Bacteria; Pseudomonadati; Acidobacteriota. The record is from RNAcentral.
UGGGGAAUUUUGGACAAUGGGGGAAACCCUGAUCCAGCCAUCCCGCGUGUGCGAUGAAGGCCUUCGGGUUGUAAAGCACUUUUGGCAGGAAAGAAACGUCAUGGGUUAAUACCCCGUGAAACUGACGGUACCUGCAGAAUAAGCACCGGCUAACUACGUGCCAGCAGCCGCGGUAAUACGUAGGGUGCAAGCGUUAAUCGGAAUUACUGGGCGUAAAGCGUGCGCAGGCGGUUCGGAAAGAAAGAUGUGAAAUCCCAGAGCUCAACUUUGGAACUGCAUUUUUAACUACCGGGCUAGAGUGUGUCAGGGGGAGGUGGAAUUCCGCGUGUAGCAGUGAAAUGCGUAGAUAUGCGGAGGAACACCGGUGGCGAAGGCAGCCUCCUGGGAUAACACUGACGCUCAUGCACGAAAGCGUGGGGAGCAAACAGG